UUUUAGCCCUGAUAGAAGCGAUAUCCUUUUGUUCCGCCGCGACGGAUUAAAGAUAAAGCGUCCCGAAACUUCGGGAGCAGGAAAUAGC
Molecule: small RNA, 88 nt
Filed under: Flavobacterium sp. 9
Lineage: Bacteria; Pseudomonadati; Bacteroidota; Flavobacteriia; Flavobacteriales; Flavobacteriaceae
Description: Flavo-1 RNA
Source: RNAcentral